AUGUCCAUAUGGGGACAUCCAUCCAUUAGGAUCCGUCGUUUCCCAUUUCCUGGUCUCUCUGGGGACGCUGAUCCACUGGGAUCCAUCGGUUUCUCCCUUGAUGUCCCUUUGGGGACAACUACCCCCUGGGACAUGUCUGUCCCCAGCUCCAGCCCACCGUGGGAAGCUGACAGGAGGGAUCCAUCCGUUCCCAUUUCCGGCCCCAUUGGGAUCCAUCCCAACACUUCUGUGCCUACUGGGCUCACUGCAACCCCAUUGGGAUCUAUCCUGACAUCUCCAUAUCCAUUUGGGAUCACCACGAUCCCAUCAGGAUCCAUCCCAACUCCUCUGCGUCCUGUCGGAUCUCCCCAGUCCCAUUGGGAUGACUCAGCCAUCCCAAAAACUCUGUGCCCGCUGGGAUCACUCCAAUCCCAUCGGGAUCCACCCCAACACUUUGGGAUCUCUCCAAUCCCACAGGGGUCCCACUGGGAUUCAUCCCAACGCCUCUAUAUCCAUUUGGGAUCACUCAGAUCCCAUUGGGAUUCAUCCCUGUACCUCCAUGUCAUUUGGGAUCACCAUGACUCCAUCGGGGUCCAUCCCAACAUCUCUGUGCCCAUUGGGAUCAUUUCAAUCCCAUUGGGAUCCAUCCCAACACCUGUGUGUCCUUUGGGAUCUCUCCAAUCCCAUCGGAAUCUCUCAGAUCCCAUUGGGAUCCAUCCCAACACUUCAUGUCCUUUGGGAUCUCCCCAGUCCUAUCAGGAUCUCUCCAAUCCCAUCGUGAUCUAUCCCAACACUUUGGGAUCUCUCCGAUCCCAUUGGGAUCCAUCCCAACACCUCUGUGUCCUUUGGGAUCACCCCAAUCCCAUUGGGAUCCACCCCAACACCUCUGUGUCCUUUGGGAUCACCCCAGUCCCAUUGGGAUCCACCCCAACACCUCUGUGUCCUUUGGGAUCGCUCCAAUCCCAUUUUGGUGCUGCAGCUGCAAAUUCAAUCAAUUCCCUACUUCGUUUCCAUUUUUAAAUCCUUUUCCCCACUUAAUUUCCCCUUUUUACCCCAGUUCCCCACCCCAUUUCCUCACCCCGCCCCAUUUCCCCCAAGAUUUACCAAAUCUCCUCGGGCCGUCCCGAGAAAACUUACAAACUGAAGCAGAAAAAUGGGUAAUUUUGGGGUUAUUUUCACCUAUUUCUGCUGGAACACAUGAAAUUGCGAAGGGUGGUUUCGGGGCAGGUUCAGUUGAACGGUAUUGAUGGACAGCAUUGGGGUGGUUUUUUUUUAUUAUUUUUUUACUGUUUUGUGUCUCUGUGAUUUCUCAAGGCGUGGGGCCCAACUGCGGCCGCACAAAAUGGGGAGAAAACACCCAGAUUUGGGUCAGCUGCACAGGACGUUGGCACCGAACGAGGACUCGUGAGUCCACGCGGAGCUGCAGCCGCUCACGCUGGGUUUUCCCAGUUCCCCAUUUCUGUACCCAAAAUGGGAAGAAAAAAAUGGGUCCUUUUUCAGUUUUUUGUUUUUUUUUUUUUAAGGUAAAAAAAUAUAUAUAGAUUUUUGUUCCUAGUUCUGAUGUGAUGGUUUAUUUCAGAGCAGCCUCGGAAUUGGGGGCCCAAGGUGGGAUGGAAAGUGUUUUCCACCUGACAACGUUCUUCUGCAAAGGGUUCUCCACCUAAAAAUGCCAUUUCCCACCCAAAAAACCCCAUUUUCUACUAAAAUACAGCAGUCUUUGGCUUGAGAAGGGUCAUCUUCAAUGUGAAAGUGGACUCUACAUAAAAAUUGAGUUUUCUACCUAAAAGUGGCGAUCUUCUGCUGCUUACAAAUGCCAGUUCUCUACCCAAAAUCAAUCUUUUUCCACCCAAAAUGACCUAAAAAAGCUUUUUCCCGACUCAAUUAUGGCCUUUUCCAGCUAAAAAUGGUCCCAUCUUACGUUUUCUGACACAAAGAGCUUUUCCUACCUUAAAAACUUGUCGUUUUCUACCUGAAAAGAGUAAUGUUUCUAACUGAAAAGUGGAAACUUGAGUUUUCCGACCCAAAAAUGGCCUUUUCCGUGUAAAAAACGGACUUUUGCACCUAAAAACUCUCGAGUCCACUUAGUUUUCUGUCCACUCCAAAAACGGUCCUUUCUACCUAAAAACUGAUCCUUUCCUUCCUUCCUAAAAAAUUGAGUUUUUCUACCUAGAACGACUCAUUUAACUAAAAAUCCACGUUUUCUAUCUAAAAGUAGUAUUUUCCCACCUCAAAGUGGCUUUUCUGACUAAAAAACGGUGUUUUUUUCCCCCUCCAAGUCACCUUUUUCUACCCAAAACCUUUUGCCGACCCCAAAACAGGAUUUCUCCACCCAAAAAUGGGACUUCGGGACCCAAACGCGGCGUUUCCUUUUUGCGUUCCACGACGAAGCCCUACAAAUUGGGUCAAAAAACCACCGAAUCCUUCAGUUUGGACGCAGCCCCCUUCCCAUGGGUGCGGUGCUCCAAUGACGACGCAGCGACGGCACGCGUUGUAAACAACACUUUCUGUAAUAAAUAAUCCAAAAUCGGGGCUAAACGGCCCCGAAAUAAAUAGUGUUCAAUAUUAAAUACCCUACAAUUAAAUAAUCCCUUCAAUAAAUACAACCAACCAAUAAAUAUCGGAGCGACCCACAAAGAACUGGGGCUCUGAGGGUGAGGUAGAGGCACCCACGGGUGCUCGGUGCCACCGCAGCUUCGUUACCGCAGCGUCGGUCCCCCAAAGCAUCCCCAAAUCCAUUGGGUGUCACCUCCAGGCGGAGGUGACAGUCGUACGGUGUCACCCGGACAACAGGGUGACCGUCUGGGUUGUCAGUGCGCAGUGAUGUUGUAGGCCCGCGGGGUCGGCGACGGCAACAACCGUGGGCAGGAGGUGCCCACGGGUGUCACCUGUCCCCCAGUGGGUGGGCACGUUGUCACCGGCGGUGUCACAGUCGUCCCAAGUCGCGCUGUCACCACGACCAUCUCCGGUGUCACCGCUCCUUCAGGUUGCGACGUCCCCACGACCGUCUCCUCGGGUUGUGGUGGUUGUGGUGACAAGUGAGGUGGUAACGACGACACGUUCAGCGUCACCGCGACCGCCCUGGCUGUCACCACCACCUCUCCUGGUUGCGUUGGCUUCCCAACCACCUUGGGUGUCAUGGCCACCUCUCCCGGUUGUAUCGUCACCAUGACCACUGUGGGUGUCACCACCACCUCCCCGGGUUGUGUUGUCACCGCUUUGGGUGUCACGGCCACCAUCUCGGGUGUCACCACCACCUCCCUGGGUUGUGUUGUCUUCCCAACCACCACAGGUGUCACGGCCACCUCUCCUGGUUGUGUUGUCACCGCUUUGGGUGUCACGGCCACCAUCUUGGGUGUCACGGCCACCUCUCCCGCCUGUGUUGUCACCUCAACCUCCCCAGGUUGCGUUGUCACCGUCUCCGCCGGCGCGCUGUAAACCUGAACGCUGACCACUGCCAACAACACCAGGAGGAGCCGCGUGGCCAGGCUGACUUCUUCCGUUGGGGGCGGCCGUCGCACCUGGAGGGGGGGCAACGAAGGGUUAACACACAGCUUUUCGGGAGGUGAAAAGCCUUAAAAUGGGGGACAAACGGCGUUACCAGGGGGAAUUCCCCCCAUUUUCGGCGACGUUCUUGGGGUUCGUGUAGAGGGGACCCAGCUGAGAGCAAAGCCAACCCGAGCCUAAUUAGCUGCUGGGGUUAAUGGGUUAAUAACCCCGCUCCUGCAGGGGCAACGCUGUCUGAAUUCGGGGUUAAAAACUCCCGAAACGAAGGAAAACGUAAUCCUUGAGGGGGCGAAUGUAAUUGUCUGGUGGGAAACCCCCCGCUUUUGGGUUGCUUCUGUGAGGUUUAAUGGGUUAAUAACAUCCUGAGGGGAAUGAUCGCCUUCAUUUUGGGUUAAAAAACCCCAAAAUUAGGGUAAUUAUCAUCCUUGAGUGACAAAAUGUAGUUUUAAGGGGAAAUUUCCCCAUUUCGGGUUCUAGUUUCACAGGUUCUAUGGGAUCUCUGUGGGGUUCUAUGAAAUGCCAGUUGUUUUCCCCCUAAAUACUGCUUCAAUUUGGGGUUAAAAGCCCUAAAAUCAGGGAAAAUGUAAUUCUAGGGGGAAAAGCAGCUCCAGUUUUAGUUACGAAAACCCUAAAACGGGAGAAAAUAUUACUUGAAGGUGGUAGUGGGGGGAACACUGCCCCAGUUUUGGGUUAAAAAGCAUAAAUGAUGAGAAAACAGAAUACAGACGGAGAUAUCCUGCUCUAGUUUGGAGGUAAAACGUCCUAAAAAGAGGAAAAAUGUUGUUCUAAAGGGAAAAUACCACCCCAGAUUUGGGUUAAAACACCUAAAAAAAGGAAAAAUGUGACUAGGUAG
Meleagris gallopavo (turkey) is the source of this 4336-nucleotide long non-coding RNA. The record is from Ensembl. Lineage: Eukaryota; Metazoa; Chordata; Aves; Galliformes; Phasianidae.